This 488-nucleotide ribosomal RNA is filed under the name uncultured bacterium. RNAcentral describes it as "bacterial SSU rRNA". It matches the Rfam family "Bacterial small subunit ribosomal RNA", at positions 28 to 509 of the family's 1533-position model. The record is from RNAcentral.
GAUGAACGCUAGCGGCAGGCUUAAUACAUGCAAGUCGAGGGGCAGCAUGACUGUAGCAAUACAGUUGAUGGCGACCGGCAAACGGGUGCGGAACACGUACAGAACCUUCCUUCGAGCGGGGAAUAGCCCAGAGAAAUUUGGAUUAAUACCCCAUAGUACAUUAGAGUGGCAUCACUUUGAUGUUAAAGAUUUAUCACUUGAAGAUGGCUGUGCGGCUGAUUAGGUAGUUGGCGGGGUAACGGCCCACCAAGCCUGCGAUCAGUAACUGGUGUGAGAGCACGACCAGUCACACGGGCACUGAGACACGGGCCCGACUCCUACGGGAGGCAGCAGUAAGGAAUAUUGGUCAAUGGACGAAAGUCUGAACCAGCCAUGCCGCGUGGAGGAUGAAGGUCCUCUGGAUUGUAAACUUCUUUUAUAUGGGACGAAAAAGGGUUUCUAACUCGUCUGACGGUACCAUAUGAAUAAGCACCGGCUAACUCCGUGCC